This is a long non-coding RNA of Peromyscus leucopus (white-footed mouse), 1005 nucleotides long. RefSeq lists it as uncharacterized. The record is from RefSeq and is a predicted model, not a curated record. The transcript has 2 exons. NCBI's taxonomy places the organism in Eukaryota, Metazoa, Chordata, Mammalia, Rodentia, Cricetidae.
CACCGAGUGUUUUUUUUUUUUUUAUUGUCAGAAGAUCGUAUGACAUGAGCAACACAUACCAUGAUGUUCCACCAUCACUGCAACGAUGUCACAAGGCCUUGUCUCCUCUGAGUGUACUGUGAGGCCAGAAGAGGGCACUGGAUCCACAAGAACUGAAAUUACAGGCAGUUAUGAACUGCCCAACAUGGGAACUGGGACUCCAACUCAGGUCCUUUGGAAGAGCAACAAGCACACUUAAUCACUGAGCCAUCUCUCCAUCCUAGCUCUGAUGUUUAAGAGCCAUAAGUGCCUACUCUCCCUCCAAGUCAGAUGUCCCAGGUCAGGACAUCUCACCUUCCUUUACCUGGAAUUGAUGAGACCUCAUUUCCACUGUCUGAGAUAAGAGUUCCAUUACUGAGAACUUGCAUGGCAUAAACUUGACCCACGGACUGACUCAUCUUCCCAGCCUUUUACUAUCAGUUUUAUAUUAUCUUGCUCCAGACCUCCCCCCCCCAAAAAAAAAGGCCCUUGAAGGUCUCCAGUCAUUGUUUUAAACCUACAGCCACCUUGGAUGUCUCAUACAGCAGAGCCCUGCAGAAAGAUCACUCACCAAAGGAAGACAUUUAUCUGUGACAGUAAGACUGGUUCCUAAGGCAGGAAUAAUCACUGUAUUAUGAGAAUCUUUACAUUGCUUCCAUCAAGCAGUUAAGUACUUCUUUUUGUCUCCUCAGAAGACUUAAGUUUGAGACAAUGAUCCAGUAGAUAACCCAGACUUGAGCUGGCCUGCUUCCUAUACAUACCUCUUGCCUCCUGCCCUACAUAAACUUAAAGUUCAUGUCAGAGCCCCAAAGAGACUUGGUUCCUCUUCCCAAUAUGCCACUGGUUUCUCUGCUUUCCAUCACUGCUCAUCUCUUCUGUUGGUUUAUCGGGUCAAGUGGCCCAACACUGCCUGAUGGGGCUCCCAGAGAUGGGGUGUCUGCUCUAUAUUUAAACCCAGAAUUAUCUAAAAGGAAUUUUUCACUUUAA